Molecule: ribosomal RNA, 493 nt
Filed under: Plasmodium inui
Lineage: Eukaryota; Apicomplexa; Aconoidasida; Haemosporida; Plasmodiidae
Description: bacterial SSU rRNA
Rfam family: Eukaryotic small subunit ribosomal RNA
Source: RNAcentral
UUUGCAUUCAAUAUAGGCUUUUUCACACCUCUCAACAUAAAACGCUCUUUUAAAUAAAAUGAAUCCUUUUAAGAUCUUUCUUUUUUGCUUCGGCAUUUUAGGAGAUCUUGUUACUUUGAGUAAAUUAGAGUGUUCAAAGCAAACAGAUUAUAGCAUCUUUAUGCGUUUGAAUACUACAGCAUGGAAUAACAAAAUUGAACAAGUCAGAAUUUUGUUCUUUUUUCUUAUUUUGGCUUAGUUACGAUUAAUAGGAGUAGCUUGGGGGCAUUUGUAUUCAGAUGUCAGAGGUGAAAUUCUUAGAUUUUCUGGAGACAAACAACUGCGAAAGCAUUUGCCUAAAAUACUUCCAUUAAUCAAGAACGAAAGUUAAGGGAGUGAAGACGAUCAGAUACCGUCGUAAUCUUAACCAUAAACUAUGCCGACUAGGCUUUUGAUGAAUCAUUUUAAAAUAAGAGUUUUUUCUCUGAGGAGUUAAAACUCUUAUAUGGCAGAU